UACGGAGGAUGCGAGCGUUAUCCGGAUUUAUUGGGUUUAAAGGGUGCGUAGGUGGAUUGGUAAGUCAGUGGUGAAAGUUUGCAGCUUAACUGUAAAAUUGCCGUUGAAACUGCCGGUCUUGAGUGCAAAUGAGGUAGGCGGAAUGCGUCGUGUAGCGGUGAAAUGCUUAGAUAUGACGCAGAACUCCGAUUGCGAAGGCAGCUUACUGGGAUGCAACUGACGCUGAGGCACGAAAGCGUGGGUAUCAAACAGGAUUAGAUA
Molecule: ribosomal RNA, 261 nt
Filed under: uncultured prokaryote
Description: partial 16S ribosomal RNA
Rfam family: Bacterial small subunit ribosomal RNA
Source: RNAcentral